ACGUAAUACCUGGAAGCAGCUUCCCUGUCCUAAGCACUCUGCCCCUGCCAGAGUUGAAAUUUUCCUUGGACUAUGUACUGACAAGGGACACGAGGGAUACCAGCAGAGAAAGGCAGAGCCAUUGUCCCCCUGCAGAACACCGCAAUAACACCGCAGUCACUUUGUUGCCAACAGCCCAGCCUGAUUCUGUGAGUGUCUGGCAAAAGGUAAGGCUUGCAGCUAUCGUGACUGGGGACUACGAGGGGGCAGAACUCAUUGAUGUGCCCAUGUCGGGGGGGCUGGGAGCCUGAGGAUGGGACACUGGGAGUUUAUCCAGUAAUAAGAGGCAACAGAACAACUUCUGACAAGUAUACUCCUUUUCAAUGGCCAGUUCUCUCCAAACCGCAUCAGCAUGUGGCCAAACACAGUUUAGGUUCUACUGCCGUUGCUAAUAUGCUACGAUUCCUAACCACUGAGAAAGUAACUCCCUUUGAUAUAAUGCAACUAGCAAAAUUAAUGUUUACAACAGUUCAAUAUAUGGUGUUCAAAUCUGCAUGGAAAAGCAGUGCUAAUAAACAGGAGUUAAAAAAUCUAAAGGUUCUGUGAGAGGACCCAUGUUAUGAGGCAGGGGUCCUUCAACUUCUAGGUCUACAGCCAGCAGGAGAUCCAAGACUCCAGGCCAGGCUACAUCCAUUAAUACUAGCACAGCUGAAGGAAUUGGGACUGCAGGUACUGUUUAAAGUAACUAACAUGGCAAACCCGACCCAAACAUAUUCCAAAAUCGGACAAGGAGUUGAAGAACCGUAUAUAGAGAGAUUACAAGAUGCUAUGGAAAAACAAAUUGUUAAUGUUAGGGUCAGAAAUAACUAAUUUUACAAUAAGUAAAGGACGAUGCCAAUGAGGACUGCCAAAAGGUUAUAGAACUGCUCCCUAAUGAAAAUCCAUCACUAAAUGAAUUGAUAAAUGCCUGUGCUAAGGUUGGAUCUAAUUCUCAUAACAUGACCAUGUUAGCAGAGUCCAUAGGAGCUGCUAUAAAGGUAGCACCUCAUUGCUACAAAUGCGGAUAACAAGGCCACCUGAAUGUAAACUGUCCCUAAAAGUCCUUUCCACAGGGGAUGUUUCAAGGACAGAAGGGAGCAAAUGAAAGUUGCAACCGAUGUGGCAAGAUCGGACAUGUGACCAAGGUAUGCAGGUCCAAAUUUCAUGCUAAUGGUUAAUCUCUCAAGAACCAGGGAAACAGGAAACCGAGCACAAAAGGGAAAUGCAUGAUGACACAAGUAAUUUCCCAUCCCCCAGUACAUACCUGUGUGACCAACUCACAGCAAGGACAAGAGAAUCAGCUGUCAUGGAUGUUUUUACCUCAAUCACAAGAACCAUAAACUCCUCAAAGGUACAUAAGGUCCAUCUCGAGGCUCAGGGGCCUAUUGGGAAAGGAUUGAGUGCACUGUUAAUUGGAAGGUCCAGUGCCACAAUUCAAGGUAUCAUUGUGCACCCUGGCGUUGUUGACACAGAUUUUACUGGACAAAUACAUGCAAUGGUUUCCACCCCUACUCCACCCGUGACUCUCCCUGAAAAAAACAGAAUCACUUAACUUAUCCCUUUUAAGUCUUCUGUCCCCAAAACAGAUUCUAAGGAGUGAGGAGACCAAGGCUUCAGAGCAACAGGACAGCCCCAGGUGAACUGGACUGAGGUCGUAGAAGAUCAAAGACCUAACAUGGUUUGUAUUAUUACAAUGCCUAAAGCAAAGCCUUCGCAGAUAAAGGUCAGUGGGAUAAUUGACACAGGGGCAGACGCCACUAUCAUCUCUACCAACAUGGGGCCUUCAUUGUGGCAUACUACACCAGAGCGAUCUGCUGUUGCUAGCUUUGGAGGGACCACACAGAGCUGCUUGAGCAGAAAUCCUGUGUUGAUCAAAAAUCCUGAGGGCCAAACAGUUACAGUCUGGCCUUACAUCACUGCUGCACCACUGAACCUGUGGGGGAGGGAUGUUUUGUCUGCAUGGGGAGUCUGGGUGGGGACAGAUUUUUACAGGGGCCACUGUAUUAGAGGGUGUACACUAUCCCACAUUAGCUCUAAAAUGGUUCAGUGUGGGUACCACAGUGGCCCCUCGAAAAAGAGAAGUUACAUGUCCUUAAGUCUUUGGUACAGGAAGAACUGGUUCAAGGACACAUAGAACCAUCUCUGAGCCCUUGGAACACCCUGGUUUUUGUCAUAAAAAAGAAAUCUGUUGCAAGGACAGAGACUAAGACCCUGAAGACUGACUGGAAUUCUGGCCUGGUUGAGGGUUGAUGCUCGCCAACUGAUUGUUUGCAGAAGAUUCCUCAUCUGCCUUACGACCACUGUCAAGGAUGGAGAAUUGAAGCCCCCUCCCAAGGACUGAGACCCUUAAAAUUCUAACACAGGGGCACUGGCCUGACUGAAGCAGAAUGUCUGCCAAGUGUUGUCUGCAGAUGUGUUCGCUGGACCAAGACUGGUUUCCCAUAGAAACCAGUCCUGAAACAAUGGGUCCUGAACUGGACUGUCUGCACUUGUUCUCUACAGACUUAUUUUCCAUUGUAUUUUACCUGUUCCCCCUCAGCAGAGGACUAUAAUAGACCCCUGAGUUAACCAAGACUUUGAGAUUCUCCCUGAUGAGACAAGAUGGAUCCAUUGGCCAGACCACAAGGAUUUUGUCUCUCCGUUGGUAGCUAUACCCUUUCUUUUCUUUCUCUCUCUCUCUCAAUAUCCUUUAUCUCCUUUCUAAAUCCUUCUAUCACAUUUGCUGUGGGCACUCAGUAAAAGGUGCAUUUGUUUUGAUUAAUACUGAAAUCCCCUCUGUGUUGCUUUUUGCACUCUGAGAUCGGUAAAACAAACCAUCGUGACUCCCGCUUGUACUAGCGGAUUGUGACACUGGUAGUUGAGUUUUUUCUAACAGUUCUAAGGGUUAAGUGGUUUCUUGUUUUUAGAGUUAAGUUGUAACUUGAAACUAUAAGUAGUUAACCUGCGGCAUGUUAGCCUGAAGGAUUGUGAUCUUGCCUAACAGCUCCUGGAAGUGAGUGCUGCAACUCCAGUGGUACAUAGAACACAUCGCUAGCUGGGGAAGCUAGGUCUGUCAAAUUCAGUACAAGGCCUCAUUCAAAUUAGACUCAUGCUGUCUGUGUCAUCCUACCUUCAAAGAGCCCUUGCAGGUCUGGCUUCAGGUUUGAGAGUAACUCUCACCAGUUUGACCAUCUUUGAUCAUCCAGGCAUCUCAGUUGCCCGUACCAACAAGGUUACAGCAUUCUCUGCCUCCUCUGGGAUUUCUUCUACCUCUAUGGCUUUUGAUUCAGCUAGUAGGGUCUGCUCUGACCCUUGGACCUGUCUGCAAGCAGAUGUUACUGUUUCAUCAAAAGGGGAUUACCUUCAGUCCGGCCACACCACUGUUUUCCAGUUGUUCAGUAACUAAGGUAUCUCAAAGCUUGCUUUCAUUUCAAUCUCGCUUAUAGUUUCUAUAUUCUCAAAAUCUUUUGCCAGACAAUCAUAUUUAUAAGGCUUUCCUGUUUUAUCUUCCCCAACACUUCUAUCCUAAACUCCUGGCUGCAUAUUGCCCUCUUCUUUCCCUCUUGGCUGAGGUACUAGGAAAGUACAGCUCUCCCAAAACGCCUACCUCACAUUCUCCCCUUAAACCUAUCAUUUUCCCCUGUAGGUGUAACAGACUGGUCAGAGAGAGAGAAAGCUAGUUAAACAUUCCCAUGAGUUGGUCUGGGAGGCUUUAGGAAGCUGGAGAGAAAUAAUGAUAAUGAAAUGAAAACAAUCCACAGGUGGUGUUCUGUAACAAACUGUUUUCCUCAUAAAGAGGGCAUCUUCUUAAUUAACCAAUCAUGUGAAAUGCAUUGAUUAAAUGACCAAUCGGGUCCACCUGUAGCAACUAGGGUAUAAAAAAGGGAGAGGAUCAAAUAACUGAGGCUUUUACCAUUUGCCUUCUAAUACAACUGUGUCAUCUCUGACUCAACAGUGACAUUCCCCCAGAGUUCAGAAGUUCAAACUAUCUGGGUUCUGCACUAGACUUUGCACAGACACAUUUGUCUAUUACUCUAAAGUUCAGGAGUUCAAACUGUAAUCAAGCUGUCGGGGUUCUGUAACAAACUUGCAGCUUGAGGUUGGUAGAGACAUUAAGACCCAUUUCAAAGGCAUAAACACCUAUCUCUCCUAAAGACCCUCAGUUGCUUGUAAAGACAUUAGCACCCAUCUUUCCUAUCAGUCCCAUCUGGGUCACCAAAAUUGUUACUAAAAAUUGGUAAAAAUAAAAACUCCUUAACACUAAUGUAGCAUUAAGAAGCAGGCAUUCUUUAUUCAGCCAGACGCACAAGGGGAUAUCGCCUCCAAAAUACUGUGCAUGCUGAGUACCCAAAAAAUUCCUGAUUAUAUACUAUGUUUUACAUACAUUUUCAUUGAUUUUCCUGGACUAGGCAUACAUGUGAUACACGUUUCCCCAAAAUCAUAACAUAUGUUUUCUCCACUUUACGCAUGUGUUCUGUCCUGGGGGUCUCUUUGGUGGUCCCUGGUAGUCAGUGACCCGAAAGUCAUACCUGACUGCCUGGUGAACUGGUAAAAGUUGGCACAGCUUGGCUGGUUUCUUUCCAGUUCUUCCUACAGAAUAAUCAUUGUGUGGUUCCAUAGGCCAGUGGCUUUUGAAGAAUAAGCAUUGCAUUAACUCACCAGAAGCAAAUCAUCUGGCAACAGUCCCAGGGGAGGUACCUGGGCAUUUCCACAUGAACCUGAGUGAAUAUAAACCCAAGAGAUUUUGUGUUCUGUGGACUUUCCCAGGGAUUUUCCCCCACUACUUCUUUGGGACUUCCCCACCACCAGAUAAAUUGUAGAGGUUUGAGCUUGGCUGGCUGCCAGCUGUCCACUAAGCUGCUCUAUCACUCUCCUUCCCAGUGGGACCGGGGAGAGAAUAAGAUGGAAAACAACUCAUAGGUUGAGAUAAGGCAGUUUACUAAAGCAAAGGAAAAAAAAAAAAAACAAGCAAAAGUUUGCACAUGCAAAAGCAAAGGGAAAAGUUAAUAUCUACUUCUGUUCUGGUUUGAAAGCAAAACCAGUGAGAGACUCCAAGUCAGAAAUACAAUUUAUUAGGAAAAGGGAAAAAGAAAACCAAAAUACAUGCAAUAAUACAAAAGAAAAACCACUGACAAAGUCAGAAUACAACCUGACACCCUGUUGGUCAGGGUGUUGGUAGCAGUCCAGUUGGAUUGGUGGCUGCAGUCCUC
Serinus canaria (Common canary) is the source of this 5207-nucleotide long non-coding RNA. RefSeq lists it as uncharacterized. The transcript is spliced from 5 exons. NCBI's taxonomy places the organism in Eukaryota, Metazoa, Chordata, Aves, Passeriformes, Fringillidae. The record is from RefSeq and is a predicted model, not a curated record.